RNAcentral lists this non-coding RNA (102 nucleotides) under uncultured Anaerotignum sp. Its description in RNAcentral is "THF riboswitch". It matches the Rfam family "THF (Tetrahydrofolate) riboswitch aptamer". From Rfam's summary of the family: THF riboswitch presents a pseudoknot that joins P1-P2 and the loop of P3 and two THF binding. The record is from RNAcentral. Lineage: Bacteria; Bacillati; Bacillota; Clostridia; Lachnospirales; Anaerotignaceae.
CAGAGUAGGGCUUUGCGCGUCAAGUGUCCGGUGAACGGGGAGUUGUCACCGGGACGAAAAAAUGAUGUAUCAUUUUGCGAUGCAGAACCCGCAUCCCGCUGU